This 446-nucleotide small RNA is filed under the name Histoplasma capsulatum var. duboisii H88. RNAcentral describes it as "Histoplasma capsulatum H88 hypothetical RNA". Lineage: Eukaryota; Fungi; Ascomycota; Eurotiomycetes; Onygenales; Ajellomycetaceae. The record is from RNAcentral.
UUCCACUUUUUUUAGGCUCGCAGCCCUCCCCACCGUGGUAGCCGGUAGUUGUGCCUGUUUCGAGCAUAAAAUACUGUGUAACAUUCAUAUCACUUACCUUAGACGGAGGAUGGGCAAGAGCCGUUGGCAGUGGAUUGCUAAAUGUUGACUUUAUUGGUGAACAAGAAGAAGACCCUGGAAAACUGCCCUCAGUUCCCUUUUUGCCCUUUUUUUCCCUGUGGUUGCUGGAAUUGUUGAAGAGGCGGGGGGGAGUUGGAAGAUUUUUUAUUCCAUGGCAACGCUGUUACUUUGUCGGUUUCUCUUUGUUUCGGGAUGCUCAAUAUAAUAUUGGAGCCGUAGCUUCCGAUGUACAGUACAUGGGGGUUUUUUUUUUUCCCUUUCAUCCACUAUUUCACAUCAACCUCGGCGGGAUCAUAGCCGUCGGAUUUGUGAUGAAGAUCAGUGAG